Long non-coding RNA from Onychostoma macrolepis, 5548 nucleotides. RefSeq lists it as uncharacterized. The record is from RefSeq and is a predicted model, not a curated record. Lineage: Eukaryota; Metazoa; Chordata; Actinopteri; Cypriniformes; Cyprinidae. The transcript is spliced from 3 exons.
UGGCUUGUAUCAAAAGCCCUAUUCGGACGGGAUUAGUUUUACAAGGGUAGAUGGAGUAAUGUAAUUUUUACCUCAGCACGUCUGUACUAUUAAUGGCCAAUUCGCACGGGAUAAGAAAUCUGUAAAACUACAAGAAGUGGGAGGAGUAACUCGAUUUUCGCUCCGCUGUCGCCUGCUUGUCGUCAUGUGCGUCAUGUACGUUGCUUCCUGAAUGGAUCUAACGGUUUUAUCCAACCAAAAUGUAAUAAUUUAUUACCUGUGUGUGUGUGUGUGUGUGUGUAUGCAUAUAUAUAUAUAUAUAUAUAUAUAUAUAUAUAUAUAUAUAUUAGUGCUGUCAAUCAAUUUAAAAAAAUAAUAAUAAUCACAUUUCUUUUCUGAAAUUAAUUGCAAAUAAUCCCACCCAACAUUAAAGUUUUUAAAUAUACUUUUAUAUUGCAAUAAUUUCACAUUCAAUCUUCAAAUUAAUGUACAAACAACUUAUUUUUUAAUAUUUGUUUAAUGGUGUGUUUUUUUAUGACUGAAGGCCAGUAUCACUGAUACCAAGUAAUAGGCCUGAUUUCCCUAUAAAAAAAUUUCCCCUAAUAUUUAACCAUUGACUAUGGUCAUUAAACAUUACAUUACAAGUUAUCAAACACUAAAUUCUAAACUAAAUACAGAUAAAUACUUACAGCUACUGUAACGUGUUUGUUCCGUUUUGCCCUUAUUUGGUUUGUUUCCUGUCAUUAGUUAAUCAUCGUUUAUUCAAUUCACCCGUCUUGUAUUAAUCAUCUCGUUUGCUCUUUUGAUUUAUCUGUCUUUAUAAGUCCUGUGUUCUGCCUUGGUUUUGGUCUGCUGUUAAAUGUAAUUAGUUUUUUUGCAAUUAUUAAAGACUGCUUUGAAGAUUAUCCUUGUCUCCUCGCUCCUUUGUCCCCAGCGCACCGUGACGGAACCUGACAGCUACACUGUAAAAAGUGAUAAGUUGACUUGACUUAAAAAAAUUGAGGAAAACCGUUGCCUUAAAAUGAAGUAAAUAAUUUAUAAAAAAAAAAGUUAAGUGACUUUGACAAUUCAUUUAAUUUUUUUUAUUAUUAUUUACUUUUUUAAGGCAACGGGUUUUCUCAAUUUUAAGUCGUCAACUUAUCACUUUUUACAGUGUAUAUAGAGUUAUUGAUUUCCUCUUUUUUUUUUUUUCUUUUAUCUUUGAUGAACAGACAUCACAGCAGCUGGUUAUUAGGUUGUUUUGGCUGCUAUUUUUUUAAAGAUGUAAUUUUAGAGCUGUUGCUGCUGAACAAGAUGCGGAUCUGACACUCAUCGUGUUUUCUCUCAAAUAUCUUUAACUUUUCUGACCCAUUUCAGUCUCUACUAAUGAGCUGACCAGUUGAAGCGGGUGUGUUUGAGGGAGACAGUGCUGGGCUGCUCUUUUGAAAACCAUUUCAGAGACAUGUCCUUAAUGUAACUCAUAACAUAUUACAUGCACGCACAGUUUUAAGGUAGCUUUAAUCGCCUUUUUGGUAACUUCAUGCCUUAACUGACCACGACAUUGCAUGCACGUAGUUUAUUUCACACUUUGAUAUGAAUUGAUACAGGCUACGGCGCGCCAGUUACCACGCUAAUUGACUCGCGCUGCCGCUAAAGUGAAGCUGGAGCGCGCGACUGAAACGUCUCCGGAUUGAUAUGCUCGUAAAGACGUUCUGUGACUGAAUAAAUGCACUUCUUGUCAAGAAAAAAAGAGACAGAAACAGCAGUUAUGACCCAGUAAGCAAACAAAUUUGGCCCAGACUUGGCAUGCAUCUGGCACAGUUGGCAUUCAUCCGGUACUGGCAUACAGCAUGUGGGCCAAACAUGGCCUGGGUUCGGCAGAGAUGGUACCGGGUUUAAGACGGCACACAAGACAUGGGCCAGAUGUCAAAUGCAGAUAUGUGGGCCACACAAGUAUUGCCGAUCUUGACCCAUAUUUAAAAUCCAUUUCAAAUAUUUUUGAGUAAAAUGCCAAUGUUUUCCCAUACAGAAAGGUAAUAUAUUCACAUAAAUGUGAAACUGUUAAAUAUAUUUUGAAAAUGCAUAACAUGAAGCUCAUGUUGUGUGUUAUUAUGUGUUUACUUAUAUGCAAAAUUAUAUUCAUGCCUCAUAUGAUAUUAUAUAAUAUAUGAUAUUAUAUAGUAUAUUAUAGAAUAAUAUAUUCUGUUGUUUUAUAUAUAUUCAUAUAUUCAUCUGCCAUUCAUCCGGCACUGGCAUACAGCAUGUGGGCCAAACAUGGCCCGGGUUUGGCAGAGGUGGUACCGGGUUUAAGACGGCACACAAGACAUGGGCCAGAUGUCAAAUGUAGUAUUUGGCCCAGAUGUCAAAUGCAGAUAUGUUGGCCACAUAAGUAUUGCCGAUCUUGACCCACAUUUAAAAUCCAUUUCAAAUAUUUUUGAGUAAAAUGCCAAUGUUUUCCCAUACAGAAAGGUAAUAUAUUCACAUAUAUGUGAAACACUGUUAAAUAUAUUGAAAUACAUUUUGAAAAUAUAUUUUUAAAAUGCAUAACAUAAAGCUCAUAUUGUGUUUGCAUGUGAAAUUAUAUUCAUGCCUCAUAUGAUAUUAUAUGUUAUAUUAUAGAAUAGUAUAUCCUGUUGUUUUAUUUAUAUGCAACUGACUUCAAACAAUGUUUUGCAUUCACUGCUUUCAUAUUCUCAUUCAAUUUACAGUUUGAUGUAGGCCUACUAAACAAUACAUGAUGAAAUUUCAGGACAUUUUAUUUGACUUUUGUACUAUUUAUGUAAAUGCGUAACUUUGAUGUGUUUUAGGCCAUGCUGGCCAAUCAGAAGCCUGACAAAGUUUCAAGUAGGCGGAGAUAACAGCGCAGGCUCUGACGUCACAAGCCAAAAACUCCGGUUUAGCUGUCUACAUGAUAACACUGCAGCCAGAGUUUUUUUAAAUCUUCACCCUGGCAGGAGUUUUUUUCAAAAUGUUCGGUUUCAGUGACCUGCUGCAGCGUUUGCGUGAGGACGAACGGAACAAACCGCAUAGAAAAAGCUGCUGUUUUGAAAAUAACCGCGUUCGUGUGGACGACCAAUGAGCGCGCGCGUUGAGCAUUCAAAUCACAUUUAAACUGAAGCUGAGGAGGUUACCAUGGUAACAGGGCGUCAACUCACUCAGCUGACAAGUAACGAGAAGCUGUCUCUCUGCUGUUUUCACUGCUUUCAGGUAAGUUUAGUCCCUAAAGUUACACAAAUAAUACAUACAACUGUUCCUGACACUUUCUUACAUGUUACUGACACGUUUCUGUUGAAUCUUUACUUUACAGGAGUGGUAUAGUGUCUUCAAAAAGACCGUUAGCAUCACAACCAGAUAUCAUAUAGAGACUAGAUACCCCAUUGGCCGCUGGGCGCCGAGAAAUACGGCCGCCAUCUUGAACCGGUCGUACUCCUAGUUUCGUUGCGUAGCAGCAGUUAAGAUGCCAGAGCACUGUGGAGCAUUUUCUUGUUCUAAUCGGCGAACCAUCGCAAAUAGGGUCAAGGGGAUUACUUUUCACAAGUAAUUUCAACAUUUACCGCACUAUUGGUUGUAUUUUGUGAAUAGAAUACUACCAGAUAAAUGAGAAGGAGCAAGGAUCUUUGACAUUACUACUGGAAUCGUAGUCAGCUAACGUUAGCUAGGCUGUUUACUGCACCGGCAUGGAGAGGUGGGGUAAAGUAAUAAUUACAAGAACGUCUCGGUUAUCAGAUACAAGCAUUCAACGGCCAUGUACGUUAGUAUAAAUAUAUAUUGGUAAUUUAAUUUGUGUUUGUGCACGUGAUUUCAGGAAGCAAUGUAAUACACACAUGACGACGAUACGCAAAUCGAGUUAACGUUACCCCUCCCACUUCUGCUAGUUUUAUUGAGAUAUCUUAUCCCGUGUGAAUUGGCCAUUAAUAUUACAGAGGUCCUGUGGUAAAAUUACAUUAUUACAUUAUUACUAAUCCCGUCCGAAUAGGGCUUUAGAUUAAAAUCGACACAAUAAUUCUAUGUAGAUUUUUUUUUAUUAUUAUUGGUAUGUUGCCAAACUCGCCUCUCUUGAACUACAGAAAGGGAGCACGAGAAAGAAGCUCUGCAAAACAGUCCUCUUUCAGGGGUUUUAGUGUGUUUGUGUUUGUGUGUGAGAGCGAGUGUGUGUGUGUGUGAAAGCGAGUGUGUGUGUGUGUGUGUGUGUGAGAGAGCGAGUGUGUGAAAGAGAGAAUGUGUGAGGGAGAGAUAGUGUGUGUUUGUUUGUGUGAGACAAAUCAUAAUAAAUUGUUUCUUAAACUUAUUAAAAUACCUUACUUUACUGUAACUAUCUGUUUUGCUUCUUUAUCAUAUUUAUAGUGUGUGAUUUAUAAAAUACCUUAUAUCCUACAUCACAUAUUUUGAUUUUGGACGUCUGGUCACUUUAUAUCUCAUAUCAGAAUGUUAUAUUACUGUUAAGUAUAUUAAAUGAAUAUUAAUUCCUGCUAUGAAUAUUAAAAUAUGCCGAACCAUGUGUCCUGUAUCAUAGCUACAUAUAUGACCUUUGCAGAAAAAAACCCGCGUAAAAAAUCAGUUCGGUAUUAAGUGAGGUAUGAUUAAUUAAAUGCGCUGACAGCUCAUUGCACCAGCCAAACACAUUACAGUGAAUGGAGCGGGUGACCGGUUUAAGAUGGCGGCCCCACCGCUCGUCAGCGCCAAUAGGCAGUAGCGGUCGAUAGGGCGUCUAUCUAAUAUGAUGUCUAUGAUCACAACCGUUAACUACAGAGGCUAACAAUUAGAGGUAAGGUAACUUAUAGAUUUGAGCUCUUAUUAAUGAACGUUUGAGCUUUUAAGCACCUUUUAUGUGUAGAUGAGCGGCUUUGAUAGUUUUGUAAAUGUUUUGCUGAUACUUUGUCAAUAGAUAAAUGGAAGUCACUAUAAGCUAAUUAAUUUAACCUAAAAGUCUGCACUGUGGGGUCAAUCGGUGACGUCACUUACAUGAACUAAUGGGCUGAAACUAUUUCAAACACAUUUUGAACUUUCAUUGCAAACAAAUAUUGAUCAAUUGUACUAUGAUUUCAGGAGCGUCAGAAAAAAAAUACCUAAAACAGGGGAAGUUACAAAACAAUUUGUAAUGUGAGCUGCUGACAGAGAUACAGGAAACACAGAUCUCCUGUCGAAGAACAUCUCCAAAGCACCAUGAACCAUCUGACUAGGCAGUUCGUGAAGACGGAUAACCUGGACAGAAGUCGGUUCCAGAUCCAGCCUCCACACCAGACAUCUCACUCACAAGGAUUGCUGUCUACUAGAUAUUAUGUGUACUCUUCAGACUUAGGUUCAUGCAGAUAUUAUUCAGGGACAUGAACACUUGAAUACUGCAAAAAUAGAGAAACUACCUUAUUUAAGAAUUUUGUGUUAAUUGCGUGAACAUUAAAGGGGUCAUAUAAUGCCAUUUUUGUACGAGCUAAUAUGAUUCUUUAGGGUCUAAAUUGAAAGUUUGUAAUAUACUUUAAUUAAAAAUUCUCAUUAGUAUUGUAAGAAAACACUCAUUUUACCUGCUCAAAAACAGCUCUGUUUUCAGCACACCGUUUUAGUGCGUGUGUUUUUAAAUGCUAGUGAGCUUUGC